AGUGACGAUAGCCUAGGAGAUACACCUGUACCCAUGUCGAACACAGCAGUUAAGCCCUAGAACGCCUGAUGUAGUUGGGGGUUGCCCCCUGUGAGAUAAGGUAGUCGCUUAGCG
RNAcentral lists this ribosomal RNA (114 nucleotides) under Streptococcus pyogenes. Lineage: Bacteria; Bacillati; Bacillota; Bacilli; Lactobacillales; Streptococcaceae. The record is from RNAcentral.